This 399-nucleotide ribosomal RNA is filed under the name uncultured bacterium. RNAcentral describes it as "bacterial SSU rRNA". It matches the Rfam family "Bacterial small subunit ribosomal RNA", at positions 917 to 1322 of the family's 1533-position model. The record is from RNAcentral.
GGGCCCGCACAAGCGGUGGAGCAUGUGGUUUAAUUCGAUGAUACGCGAGGAACCUUACCAGGGCUUAAAUGGGAAAUGACAGGGGCAGAGACGCCCCCUUCUUCGGACGGACUGCAAGGUGCUGCAUGGUUGUCGUCAGCUCGUGCUGUGAAGUGUCGGGUUAAGUCCCAUAACGAGCGCAACCCCCAUUUCUAGUUGCCAGCGGUUCGGCCGGGGACUCUAGAGAAACUGCCAGCGUAAGCUGUGAGGAAGGUGGGGAUGACGUCAAAUCAUCACGGCCCUUACAUCCUGGGCCACACACGUGCUACAAUGGUGGGGACAACAGGUUGCCAACCGCGAGGGUGAGCCAAUCCAAAACCCCAUCUCAGUUCGGAUCGGAGUCUGCAACUCGACUCCGUG